GAUGAACGCUGGCGGCGUGCUUAACACAUGCAAGUCGAACGGAAAGGCCAGUGCUUGCACUGGUACUCGAGUGGCGAACGGGUGAGUAACACGUGGGUGAUCUGCCCUGCACUUCGGGAUAAGCCUGGGAAACUGGGUCUAAUACCGGAUAGGACAAUGGUUUGGAUGCCGUUGUGGAAAGUUUUUUCGGUGUGGGAUGAGCUCGCGGCCUAUCAGCUUGUUGGUGGGGUAAUGGCCUACCAAGGCGUCGACGGGUAGCCGGCCUGAGAGGGUGUACGGCCACAUUGGGACUGAGAUACGGCCCAGACUCCUACGGGAGGCAGCAGUGGGGAAUAUUGCACAAUGGGCGCAAGCCUGAUGCAGCGACGCCGCGUGGGGGAUGACGGCCUUCGGGUUGGAAACUCCGUUCGCUAGGGACGAAGCGUAUUUGUGACGGUACCUGGAGAAGAAGCACCGGCUAACUACGU
RNAcentral lists this ribosomal RNA (467 nucleotides) under uncultured bacterium. RNAcentral's name for it is "partial 16S ribosomal RNA". It matches the Rfam family "Bacterial small subunit ribosomal RNA", at positions 28 to 506 of the family's 1533-position model. The record is from RNAcentral.